This 608-nucleotide ribosomal RNA is filed under the name uncultured bacterium. Its description in RNAcentral is "bacterial SSU rRNA". The stretch from base 1 to 535 matches the Rfam family "Bacterial small subunit ribosomal RNA", at positions 338 to 873 of the family's 1533-position model. The record is from RNAcentral.
CCUACGGGAGGCAGCAGUAAGGAAUAUUGGACAAUGGGCGCAAGCCUGAUCCAGCCAUGCCGCGUGAAGGAUUAAGGUCCUCUGGAUUGUAAACUUCUUUUAUAGGGGACGAAAAAAGGGCAUUCUUGCUCACUUGACGGUACCCUAUGAAUAAGCACCGGCUAACUCCGUGCCAGCAGCCGCGGUAAUACGGAGGGUGCAAGCGUUAUCCGGAUUCACUGGGUUUAAAGGGUGCGUAGGCGGGCAUGUAAGUCAGUGGUGAAAUCCUAGAGCUUAACUCUAGAACUGCCAUUGAUACUAUCUGUCUUGAAUAUUGUGGAGGUAAGCGGAAUAUGUCAUGUAGCGGUGAAAUGCUUAGAUAUGACAUAGAACACCUAUUGCGAAGGCAGCUUACUACGCAUAUAUUGACGCUGAGGCACGAAAGCGUGGGGAUCAAACAGGAUUAGAUACCCUGGUAGUCCACGCCCUAAACGAUGGAUACUCGACAUACGCGAUACACUGUGUGUGUGUGAGNGAAGAGAAUAAGUAUUCCACCGUGAGUUACGUCGCGAGAGAGAGACGAAGAAGUUAGAGGCGNGAGAGNGCGACGGACGACGACGAGGAGUAGG